UGAUGUUCUAACGUGGACCCGUUACCCGGGUUGCGGACAGUGUCUGGUGGGUAGUUUGACUGGGGCGGUCUCCUCCUAAAGAGUAACGGAGGAGCACGAAGGUUGGCUAAUCCUGGUCGGACAUCAGGAGGUUAGUGCAAUGGCAUAAGCCAGCUUGACUGCGAGCGUGACGGCGCGAGCAGGUGCGAAAGCAGGUCAUAGUGAUCCGGUGGUUCUGAAUGGAAGGGCCAUCGCUCAACGGAUAAAAGGUACUCCGGGGAUAACAGGCUGAUACCGCCCAAGAGUUCAUAUCGACGGCGGUGUUUGGCACCUCGAUGUCGGCUCAUCACAUCCUGGGGCUGAAGUAGGUCCCAAGGGUAUGGCUGUUCGCCAUUUAAAGUGGUACGCGAGCUGGGUUUAGAACGUCGUGAGACAGUUCGGUCCCUAUCUGCCGUGGGCGCUGGAGAACUGAGGGGGGCUGCUCCUAGUACGAGAGGACCGGAGUGGACGCAUCACUGGUGUUCGGGUUGUCAUGCCAAUGGCACUGCCCGGUAGCUAAAUGCGGAAGAGAUAAGUGCUGAAAGCAUCUAAGCACGAAACUUGCCCCGAGAUGAGUUCUCCCUGAGACUUAGAGUCUCCUGAAGGAACGUUGAAGACGACGACGUUGAUAGGCCGGGUGUGUAAGCGCAGCGAUGCGUUGAGCUAACCGGUACUAAUGAACCGUGAGGCUUAACCUUACA
RNAcentral lists this ribosomal RNA (719 nucleotides) under Salmonella enterica subsp. enterica serovar Kiambu. Its description in RNAcentral is "partial 23S ribosomal RNA". It matches the Rfam family "Bacterial large subunit ribosomal RNA", at positions 2215 to 2925 of the family's 2925-position model. The record is from RNAcentral. Lineage: Bacteria; Pseudomonadati; Pseudomonadota; Gammaproteobacteria; Enterobacterales; Enterobacteriaceae.